GCCUACGGGGGGCAGCAGUAGGGAAUCUUCCACAAUGGGCGCAAGCCUGAUGGAGCAACACCGCGUGAGUGAAGAAGGGUUUCGGCUCGUAAAGCUCUGUUGUUGGAGAAGAACGUGCGUGAGAGUAACUGUUCACGCAGUGACGGUAUCCAACCAGAAAGUCACGGCUAACUACGUGCCAGCAGCCGCGGUAAUACGUAGGUGGCAAGCGUUAUCCGGAUUUAUUGGGCGUAAAGCGAGCGCAGGCGGUUGGUUAGGUGUUAUGUGAAAUCCUUCGGCUUAACCGAAGAA
RNAcentral lists this ribosomal RNA (291 nucleotides) under uncultured bacterium. Its description in RNAcentral is "partial 16S ribosomal RNA". It matches the Rfam family "Bacterial small subunit ribosomal RNA", at positions 337 to 620 of the family's 1533-position model. The record is from RNAcentral.